ACCCGAAUGAUCCUCAGUUGUCUGGGGCACAGGCUUCAAACCUGUAGAUGUCUGGCAACAGAGUGGUUCAAUUCCACCUUCCAGGUG
This 87-nucleotide transfer RNA is filed under the name Loxodonta africana (African savanna elephant). Its description in RNAcentral is "tRNA-SeC (TCA) (tRNA-SeC-TCA-9-1)". It matches the Rfam family "Selenocysteine transfer RNA". Lineage: Eukaryota; Metazoa; Chordata; Mammalia; Proboscidea; Elephantidae. The record is from RNAcentral.